AUGUCGAUGGACAGGGUUUUUCAUUAAUUCAAGGGACCACUCUGGAUUUUAUACUAACUGGGAGCUUGAUGGGAGGUAAUGGCAGCGGUGACGGAGUAGUAAAGGGACCGGACGUGUUACGAAAGAAGCGCCAGUGAGAGGGCAGAAUAGCAGGGUGGGAUGGAGAGGUGUGCUGGAUGAUUGCUGCAGGAGGAUGUUGCGCACUUCAAUUUACCUCCGGAGAGAACUGACACAUCCAGCCAAGGACUGACAUCUCCUGAUGUCAAAACCCCAAACCGACUGCAGUCGAUUGACCCAUUUAUUUUGCUUCAGAGGAACAGUAACAAUAAAUGUUCUUCAAUGGUGUGAUAUACUGGGCUCUAAGGAAAUAAAUAUAAUGGGAAAUAAAAACUAAAUAAAAAAAGGCAAUCUAAGAAAUUGGAAUAGCUUUAGUUCAAGAUACAUAUUGCUAUUUCUCUUUUCACAGAUAAUUACUUUCAACUUACAGGAAAAGGUAAGAGCACGUACACGUCACAGCAAACACAGCCGGCAACAUCUAGGACGAAUGGCACAACAGUGCACUAUCUAUAUUUAUUAUUGUUGAAAAGUCACAGUUGGCCAGUUGCAUAGUAUUCAAGUGCAACGUGGAGCAAGUGAUAAAUUAUAUACAUAUUAACAACCAAAAUGAUGAAAUCUGGUUCCAAAUAAAGUUCUUCCAAUUGCAAGACAUCAAAGUGUUACAAUAUUUCUGUACGGUCACUUUUUUCUGACUUUGUCCAACACUGUGAUGCCAUAAACUACUGAAG
This is a long non-coding RNA of Cyclopterus lumpus (lumpfish), 785 nucleotides long. RefSeq lists it as uncharacterized. Lineage: Eukaryota; Metazoa; Chordata; Actinopteri; Perciformes; Cyclopteridae. The record is from RefSeq and is a predicted model, not a curated record. The transcript has 3 exons.